Molecule: ribosomal RNA, 505 nt
Filed under: uncultured bacterium
Lineage: Bacteria
Description: partial 16S ribosomal RNA
Rfam family: Bacterial small subunit ribosomal RNA
Source: RNAcentral
GACGAACGCUGGCGGCGUGCCUAAUACAUGCAAGUAGAACGCACAGUUUAUACCGUAGCUUGCUACACCAUAGACUGUGAGUUGCGAACGGGUGAGUAACGCGUAGGUAACCUGCCUGGUAGCGGGGGAUAACUAUUGGAAACGAUAGCUAAUACCGCAUAAUAUUAAUUAUUGCAUGAUAAUUAAUUGAAAGGUGCAAUUGCACCACUACCAGAUGGACCUGCGUUGUAUUAGCUAGUAGGUGAGGUAACGGCUCACCUAGGCGACGAUACAUAGCCGACCUGAGAGGGUGAUCGGCCACACUGGGACUGAGACACGGCCCAGACUCCUACGGGAGGCAGCAGGAGGGAAUCUUCGGCAAUGGACGAAAGUCUGACCGAGCAACGCCGCGGGAGGGAAGAAGGUUUUCGGAUCGUAAAGCUCUGUUGUAAGAGAAGAACGGGUGUGAGAGUGGAAAGUUCACACUGUGACGGUAUCUUACCAGAAAGGGACGGCUAACUACGUG